CCCUUAGAUGUUCUGGGCCGCACGCGCGCUACACUGACGAAUGCAACGAGCUUAUAACCUUGGCCGAAAGGUCUGGGUAAUCUCCAAAUUUCGUCGUGAUGGGGAUAGUUUAUUGCAAUUAUUAAUCUUCAACGAGGAAUGCCUAGUAAGCGCAAGUCAUCAGCUUGCGUUGAUUACGUCCCUGCCCUUUGUACACACCGCCCGUCGCUCCUACCGAUUGAAUGGUCCGGUGAAGCGUUCGGACCGUGGCCUUUGGACGGUUCGCCGUCUGUUGGCUGCGGGAAGUUCGUUAAACCUUAUCAUUUAGAGGAAGGAGAAGUCGUANCA
RNAcentral lists this ribosomal RNA (327 nucleotides) under uncultured eukaryote. RNAcentral's name for it is "partial 18S ribosomal RNA". It matches the Rfam family "Eukaryotic small subunit ribosomal RNA", at positions 1470 to 1796 of the family's 1831-position model. The record is from RNAcentral.